This 71-nucleotide transfer RNA is filed under the name Caldilineaceae bacterium SB0665_bin_25. RNAcentral's name for it is "tRNA-Met". It matches the Rfam family "tRNA". From Rfam's summary of the family: Transfer RNA (tRNA) molecules are approximately 80 nucleotides in length. Their secondary structure includes four short double-helical elements and three loops (D, anti-codon, and T loops). The record is from RNAcentral. Lineage: Bacteria; Bacillati; Chloroflexota; Caldilineae; Caldilineales; Caldilineaceae. RNAcentral also lists the same sequence under 1 other name.
CGCGGGAUGGAAGAGCGGUACUUCGCCGGUCUCAUCAGCCGGAGGCGCGGGUUCGAUUCCCGCUCCCGCAC